Molecule: long non-coding RNA, 1065 nt
Organism: Oncorhynchus gorbuscha (pink salmon)
Lineage: Eukaryota; Metazoa; Chordata; Actinopteri; Salmoniformes; Salmonidae
Exons: 2
Source: RefSeq, a predicted model, not a curated record
ACAUGCCGUGCAGCAGAGCUUACUGAUAUACGGAUAAGGUCCAUGGAGCUAGAAAGGCAACAUAUGGGACAAUGUCAAUGCUACAUUCAGGCAGCCAGUAAAGAAAUUCCCCUUUGCCACAGCUAAUGCUAAUGCUAAUAGUAUAGCCAACUCUGCAGUAGACAACCCCAAUACAUGCCGAUAUUGUGGCAUUUCUCAUGGACGAGGAAAAGAACACUGCCCAGCCUAUGGAAAAAUAUGCAAAUCCUGUGGUACAGCUAAUCACUUCGCAAGGGUCUGCAUGAAAAGCAAGAGAAAGGAGGGUAAAGUGCACUCCAUGGAAACAAACACAGAUGAAGGGAACGGCAGCACAGAGGAUGUACAUGCUAGCGAGUGCAUAGGGGCAGUGAGGGCAAAAGGACAAAAGUGGUUUGUCACUCUGCUACUUAGUAAUAAACCACAGCAAUGCCAGCUAGAUUCAGGGGCCACAUGCAACGUUAUGAGCCUUAAAGACAAAAGGAGGCUCGCGCCCAGAGACAAACUCACACAGAGUAGCACCAAGCUGAAACUGUAUUCAGGCCAGUUCAUGACCUCUUUAGGCCUGUUUGUGACAGAGUGUGUUUUACGUGGCCAGAAAUACACCCUUGAGUUUGAAAUAGUUGAGGGCCAGCCAGUACAUGUUGUCAUGUACUGAACAAGACUGGUUACUCGCAUCAAUGCCUCUGUCUCGUCAUUUAACUUUCAAACACCAGUCAUGGAGCUUUACUCUGAUAGAAACAGCACAAAAUUGCACGUCAUGCAAUGCACAGCCCACCAUCCAACUCUGCACGUGACGCAGUGUACAAAAUAUACGAACCCCCCCACCAGACACAGCUGUAUCACAACCGGAAGUGAUUGGGAGUCCCAUAGGACGGCGCACAUUUGGCCCAGCUUCGUCCGGGUUUGGCCGGGGUAGGCAUCAUUGUAAAUAAGAAUUUGUUCUUAACUGACUUGACUAGUUAAAUAAAAUAUAAUAAUUCAACACAGCCGCGGGAUGUACGGGUGAUGAAGGUGAAAUGGUAAAUCUGAAAUAAUUUGUGUUGCAAU